RNAcentral lists this ribosomal RNA (433 nucleotides) under uncultured bacterium. Its description in RNAcentral is "partial 16S ribosomal RNA". It matches the Rfam family "Bacterial small subunit ribosomal RNA", at positions 29 to 507 of the family's 1533-position model. The record is from RNAcentral.
AACGAACGCUGGCGGCAUGCCUAACACAUGCAAGUCGAACGAGACCUUCCGGUCUAGUGGCGCACGUGUGCGUACCGCGUGGGAACCUGCCCUUAGGUUCGGUAUAACUCCCCGAAAGGUGUGCUAAUACCGGUUAAUGUCUUCGGACCAAAGAUUUAUCGCGUUUGGAUGGGCCCGCGUUGGUUUAGCUAGUUGGUAGUGUAAAAGCCUACCAAGGCGACGAUCCAUAGCUGGUCUGGGAGGAUGAUCAGCCGCAAUGGAACUGAGACACGGCCCAGACUGGUACGGAAGGGAGGAGAAGAGAAUAUUGGGGGAGGAGGGAAGGUGUAACAAAGCAGUGCGGGGGAAGAGAGGAAGGGGGUAGGGUUGUAAAGUUGUCUGAGACGGAGUGAGAGUGACAGUACCGGGAGAAGAAGCACCGGCUAACUACGUG